RNAcentral lists this ribosomal RNA (430 nucleotides) under uncultured bacterium. Its description in RNAcentral is "bacterial SSU rRNA". It matches the Rfam family "Bacterial small subunit ribosomal RNA", at positions 354 to 796 of the family's 1533-position model. The record is from RNAcentral.
GUGGGGAAUCUUGCGCAAUGGGCGAAAGCCUGACGCAGCAACGCCGCGUGGAGGAUGAAGGCCUUCGGGUCGUAAACUCCUGUCAAGAGGGACGAAGCGAAAGUGACGGUACCUCUAGAGGAAGCCCCGGCUAACUACGUGCCAGCAGCCGCGGUAAUACGUAGGGGGCGAGCGUUGUCCGGAUUCAUUGGGCGUAAAGAGCGCGUAGGCGGCUUGUCAAGUCGGGUGUGAAAACCUGGGGCUUAACCCGAGGACUGCACUCGAAACUGGCAGGCUUGAGUUUGGUAGAGGGAUGUGGAAUUCCUAGUGUAGCGGUGAAAUGCGCAGAUAUUAGGAAGAACACCAGUGGCGAAGGCGGCAUCCUGGGCCAUAACUGACGCUGAGGCGCGAAAGCUAGGGGAGCGAACAGGAUUAGAAACCCGUGUAGUCC